UACGUAGGUCCCGAGCGUUGUCCGGAUUUAUUGGGCGUAAAGCGAGCGCAGGUGGUGUAAUAAGUCUGAUGUAAAAGGCAGUGGCUCAACCAUUGUGUGCAUUGGAAACUGUUAGACUUGAGUGCAGUAGAGGAGAGUGGAAUUCCAUGUGUAGCGGUGAAAUGCGUAGAUAUAUGGAGGAACACCGGUGGCGAAAGCGGCUCUCUGGACUGUAACUGACACUGAGGCUCGAAAGCGUGGGUAGCAAACAGG
Molecule: ribosomal RNA, 252 nt
Filed under: uncultured microorganism
Description: partial 16S ribosomal RNA
Rfam family: Bacterial small subunit ribosomal RNA
Source: RNAcentral